This is a long non-coding RNA of Musa acuminata AAA Group (dessert banana), 1006 nucleotides long. RefSeq lists it as uncharacterized. NCBI's taxonomy places the organism in Eukaryota, Viridiplantae, Streptophyta, Magnoliopsida, Zingiberales, Musaceae. The record is from RefSeq and is a predicted model, not a curated record. The transcript is spliced from 3 exons.
GGUAGAGUCUUUGCGCGAUGCGCUGUAACGUCACGCAUUCGCCGUCGGAUGUAUACUCCCACACUGGGCCCACCGAUCUUGUGGACGCGAUCGAGUUAGAUAGCUGAAACCAUCGUCUCCCCCACACGCUUUCAAAGCACCGAUUCAAUCCCUUCCGUCUCCCGUGCGAAGCCCGCGAGAGUCGUGCAGAGGAAAGAAAACCCGCAACGACUGCAAGAUCGAUCGUAAUAGCCGCCGGGGAAGACGAGAACGGCCUCGUGGGAGCGACGGCAGGCGAUCUCGACGCCGGUUGAAGCUGGCUGCACAAUUCCACCUUCCCCACUCGCAGCUGGGGCACUCAUCGCACCAUUCGCUGCUCCAAAGUCCCCUUGUUCCGCGAUCUCGACGCCGUUGGAACGAUGGUUCCCGCGGCUGAUCAAAACACAGCCCGGCCGGAGAUGGUGAGGGGGAGAUCAGACGGAUCCGAGAAGAGAAAGCGUUACAUGUUCCGGAUCUGACUGUCGUGUGAGGAGAUCGUACAGGACUUUCUGGCGAUCAAGGGGACGAAGCCCCUUUGGAGGCCAAAGAAGGGGCCUAGACUCCUCCAGCGACAGCUUGAUGUAAGAUGCAACUUGGUUUGAUGUUCCUAUUUGUUUUCUCGGCGGUAAGACGAGCUUGCUCAGAAGAGAAAAUUCUCUGCGAGGUUAAUCUAUCAGAUGGUUUGCCUGCAUCAACUCAACUAUUCGGCGAGCCUGCCAACUCGUAAGACCAUUCUUAGUGAAGCUCCAUCAAGUGAAAGUAUGGAAUUUUGUGCAGGUUUCAGGCAAUGCCGGCCCGGGAAUUUUACUCCUGGAACCAUGAAUUCUGCUCCCAUACAUUUUUAUGAUGGACAUGUUAUUUCAAAUGACGAAGAAAGUGUAAGCAUUCUUCUGAAUGAUAGAGUUAGCUAAUCUUUGUGGGCUAAGGUGCACUAUUUACCAAUGACGUAUGUGUUCACUAUUUACCAAUAAACAAGUACUUUUGAGCA